UCUCCGUUGGUGAACCAGCGGAGGGAUCAUUACAAGAGCGCCGAAAGGCUGCUUAAAACCAUCGUGAACCUAUCCAUCAGCGUUGCUUCGGCGGGAGCGCUCGCGGGGCCGGAGUCUCUCCGGUCCCCGGGCCGUGGACCCCACACCUCCGGGUGCGGGGCCGCCCGCCGGAGGUACGAAACUCUUCUGCAUCUUAGUGGCAUCUCUGAGUAAACAAGCAAAUAAUUAAAACUUUCAACAACGGAUCUCUUGGUUCUG
Molecule: unclassified non-coding RNA, 258 nt
Filed under: soil metagenome
Description: partial contains small subunit ribosomal RNA, internal transcribed spacer 1, and 5.8S ribosomal RNA
Source: RNAcentral